Molecule: microRNA precursor, 206 nt
Filed under: Oryza brachyantha (malo sina)
Lineage: Eukaryota; Viridiplantae; Streptophyta; Magnoliopsida; Poales; Poaceae
Description: MIR812 microRNA precursor family
Rfam family: MIR812 microRNA precursor family
Source: Rfam by way of RNAcentral
AAUAAGUUUAUUUUUCAGUUUUUAGAUAUAAUAUUUUGACUCUUCAUCUUAUUUAAAUUUUUUUGCGAUUAAUAUGUUUAUGGUUACUAGAUGAUAACACAUGGAUAGUACUUUAUGCGUGACUAAUUUUUUUAAGAUUUUGUAAAAAUUUUUAAAUAACACGAAUAGUCAAACUUUGGACACAGAAAUCGAAACAUAAAAUUAUU